Molecule: long non-coding RNA, 925 nt
Organism: Saccostrea cuccullata (small rock oyster)
Lineage: Eukaryota; Metazoa; Mollusca; Bivalvia; Ostreida; Ostreidae
Exons: 4
Source: RefSeq, a predicted model, not a curated record
ACUUUCACAAUUUUUUUUUCUGUAAUAAUGCAUUUAUCAGACAAAAUUGAUAAAGAAUGAAUUCAUUUUCUUUUCAUUUUAAAUCUUUUGGGCUUGGCUUACUUCUUGAGUAAAAUUAAAAUAAUUCCGUAUUUGUCUCCGGGCCGGUUUUGUCUUUUAUCGGAUGAAAAUGUACGUCAUUUUUGACGUCACUGCUGCAGCAGACGUGCUGGGUGUAUUGGAAAGGUAAGUGAUCUCCAAACAAUUUUAAAAGACUUUUAAUUCAUAUUGUUUUAAUAUCAUUUCAUUAUAGUUACAGGUGCAUAUGAACUUUCUAUAUACAUGUAAUACUCUUAUCAUUGUGACUUGUCAUGCAUUUCGUAAACCUAAUGAUAGUGAUCUAUGCAUGCAGUACCUUGAGUUCAGUGUCACAUUGCUGCGUCUAAAAAGCCCAAAGCUGAUAAGACUGGCGAUUGAUCCUAAAGCUGAUUUGACAGAAGAUUGUAUCUUCACAAUAUUAAAGGUUCAAUAUACAGUCAGCGUCUCAUAAGAAUAAAUCCCAAGAUCCAAGACUUGCUUAAAAGCUUAAUUAAGAGACCAUUCUGUGCCACAAAGAAAUUGUUCAGGAAAGGGAGAAAUGGUGGAUUUGCAUUAAUGGUACAGUUCAAAGAGAGUUCAAAAUGGUCAAGCUCAUGGAAGAUCAGAGGGAGGACAACUGAAGAAAACUGAAAGAUUCAGAAGGAAAAAGAACAAGAAAAUAUAUGAAAUAAUUAUGAAAUUGGGAGGAUGUACACAAUCUUGUCUGCAUUUGACCUGUAAAGAUUUAAUUCCCAUUCUUAUUUGUAUGCUGUAAUAUCAAAUAACUUGAUUUUUCCAUAAAUUUACAAUAGAGAAUACAUGACAAAUGUUAUAUGUGAUAUUUCAAUUUUGCUUUGGACACUUUCAU